UAAAAAAAAAAAAAGAUGAAAAAAAGGAAGAGACAAAAUUUAAAAAUUAGAAGCCCUAUAAUGUGCCUCAACUAAACAGUUAUUUUAUUUUAUGUUUUACUGUGAGCCUCAACUAAGUUGAGCUUCUCAUUUUUGCGUAUUGUGAUAUAAUUUUUAGAAAGAGUAAAAUGAAGGUGAUUUAUGGUGUACCAAAAAAAGGAGAAAGAAGUGCAGACUUAAUUAAGAAUAAAUAUAUUUCCCAAGUCAAUCACAUCCAUGUUGUUUUUCGUUAACGUCUGUAACUGAAUAUUAUCAAAUCUCUUCUAAAUCUAAAGCUACAUCUUUUAUUGCCAUAUGGUGAUUGCGUGCUAUUAUCCUUACCUUUAACAUUAAUGAUUUCACAGGCUCCAUGCAUCAUUUUUAUCG
RNAcentral lists this unclassified non-coding RNA (405 nucleotides) under Hevea brasiliensis (rubber tree). The record is from RNAcentral. Lineage: Eukaryota; Viridiplantae; Streptophyta; Magnoliopsida; Malpighiales; Euphorbiaceae.